Acanthosepion pharaonis is the source of this 113-nucleotide non-coding RNA. The record is from the annotation of a GenBank genome assembly. NCBI's taxonomy places the organism in Eukaryota, Metazoa, Mollusca, Cephalopoda, Sepiida, Sepiidae.
UAUGACCAUAUCACGUUGUAACACCUGUCCUCGUACGAUCAUCGAAGUUAAGCAACGUCAAGCCUGAUCAGUACCGAGAUGGGUGACCAAUUGGGAAUACCAAUUGCUGUAAG